AAGUCGUAACAAGGUUUCCGUGAGGUAGCAACCUGGCAGGAAGGAUUCAUUACAGUGUGAGCUGCCCUCACGGGGUAGCAAACCUCACCCUUGUGUAUUAUAUCUUUGUUGCUUUGGCACGCCGCCUUCGGGUACCGGCUUUGGCUGGCUCGCGCGUGUCAGAGAACCUAAAACUCUGAAUGCUAGUGUCGUCUGAGUACUAUCUAAUAGUUAAAA
RNAcentral lists this unclassified non-coding RNA (216 nucleotides) under plant metagenome. Its description in RNAcentral is "partial contains small subunit ribosomal RNA and internal transcribed spacer 1". The record is from RNAcentral.